UACGGGGGGUGCAAGCGUUGUCCGGAAUCACUGGGCGGAAAGGGCGCGUAGGUGGCGUCGUAAGUCUGUGGUGAAAGCCCGGAGCUCAACUCCGGAAUUGCCUUUAAAACUGCAUCGCUAGAAUUGUGGAGAGGUAAGUGGAAUUCCGAGUGUAGAGGUGAAAUUCGUAGAUAUUCGGAAGAACACCAGUGGCGAAGGCGACUUACUGGACACAUAUUGACGCUGAGGUGCGAAAGCGUGGGGAGCAAACAGG
Molecule: ribosomal RNA, 253 nt
Filed under: uncultured bacterium
Lineage: Bacteria
Description: partial 16S ribosomal RNA
Rfam family: Bacterial small subunit ribosomal RNA
Source: RNAcentral